GUGGGAGGGGGCUUGCUCCCGAUUGCGGCGUGUCAGGCAAUACAUCUAUUACUGAUCCACCGAUAUCGGGGGCAAGCCCCCUCCCAC
Molecule: unclassified non-coding RNA, 87 nt
Filed under: Pseudomonas orientalis
Lineage: Bacteria; Pseudomonadati; Pseudomonadota; Gammaproteobacteria; Pseudomonadales; Pseudomonadaceae
Source: RNAcentral